RNAcentral lists this ribosomal RNA (460 nucleotides) under uncultured bacterium. RNAcentral's name for it is "partial 16S ribosomal RNA". It matches the Rfam family "Bacterial small subunit ribosomal RNA", at positions 338 to 795 of the family's 1533-position model. The record is from RNAcentral.
CCUACGGGAGGCAGCAGUGAGGAAUAUUGGUCAAUGGACGAGACUCUGAACCAGCCAAGUCGCGUGAGGGAUGACGGCCCUAUGGGUUGUAAACUUCUUUUAUAAAGGAAUAAACCGCGGCACGUGUGCCUUUUUGCAUGUACUUUAUGAUUAAGGAUCGGCUAACUCCGUGCCAGCAGCCGCGGUAAUCCGGAGGAUCCGAGCGUUAUCCGGAUUUAUUGGGUUUAAAGGGAGCGUAGAUGGGUGGGUAAGUCAGAUGUGAAAGUGUGCGGCUCAACCGUAAAAGUGCAAUUGAGACUGGCAGUCUAGAGUGCAGGAGAGGUAAGCGGAAUUCGUGGUGUAGCGGUGAAAUGCUUAGAUAUCACGAAGAACACCGAUUGCGAAGGCAGCUUACUAAACUGUGACUGACAUUGAUGCUCGAAAGUGUGGGUAUCAAACAGGAUUAGAUACCCGGGUAGUC